CAGGAAAGAUCCAGAGUCUUGAAUGUUCCAAGAAUGAGCCAUUUCAGUUGUUAGCUGUCGACAGAACAGUUCUCUUUCUACCUGUCGGUACUGGCUCUCACGAUUCAGUGUCGAGCACUGAAUUUGUUCCAGAUUCACUUUCGUCCAAAACCCAACGAUCUUUAGAAUGAGCCUGAGUCAUUCCGUCAAUCAUUUCAAACGCAUAGUGUCCGCUUGGUAUUCCUGAAUGAAACGAAACGUUAGAGAAUCGAGGAUAUUGUUGGUGACGUCACUUUCGUACGAUUCUCUAAACUUAAAUGUCUUCCCUGGUGUUGCAAACAGAUGAACGGAAAUUCCUUUUUUAACGAUUUGCAGGUACUCGGGAGCGUAAUAAGCCCUGGUUCCUUUUGGGCCGCUGGUUGCAGACAUAGACCCGUCUGGCGCUGUGGGUUUACAGCAUCCGAAAUCCGAAAUUUUUAGAACAAACUUGUCGGAAAUGAGCACGUUUUCUGGCUUAACAUCUCGAUGGACAACAUCUUGAGCGUGGAUGUAAGCCAGUCCUCUUGUCAUUUGUCUCAAGGCUUCAACCUCCGGUGGCAUUUGACUAUCGAGCUGUUUAUUGCUGAACUUUUUAUCGCCGCAAAUAUAGUCACGAACAGUCCCCAUACAUCGUUCAAGUACCAGAUAUCUAACGAGUUAUUAUCGAAAUUAACGAAAUAUUAUCAAGUAUUAGUAUUGUUUAAAGUUAACGUUAAACUGUUUACUUGAAAUUUUCGUCUUCUUUGGCAUCAAACAGUUUUAGGACGUUAGGGUGAUCCAUUUUUCUCAUUGCAGUCUCCUCUCUGACAAGUAAUUCUUUGUCCGUCCUAUGUAUUUCAAUUCUCUUGACGGCCUUACCUUGAUCUGCUCCAAACACAAUGGCAAACGUUCCACACCCGAGAACUUCACUAUUGUCAUAGUGGGGAGCUUGUUACGGCACAUGUGUCGUCCAGGUGUGAGCAAAAAUGAAAACAAUCAAAUCGUCGGUUAUGUACAUUUUACCCCAGUAUUUCGUCACACUUCCAUUUUUACAAAUUAAAUAUACUCUUAGUUGUUUUAAUGGCUUCAAAGGUGGUUUUUGUAGAACCACCAGGUAAAAGAAAACAUUGACGGAUUUGUUAGUUAUGGCUGGAAUGUUUUUAAUUAAACUUAAAAUGUGCCCUGAAGACUUUAAAUAUGGUGUUUGAAAUGUU
This 1211-nucleotide long non-coding RNA is filed under the name Daphnia magna. RNAcentral's name for it is "uncharacterized LOC116936443, transcript variant X1". The record is from RNAcentral. Lineage: Eukaryota; Metazoa; Arthropoda; Branchiopoda; Diplostraca; Daphniidae.